AUAACGGAUAAAGUAACUUUAUAUACAAACCAAGAGAUAAUCAAAAGUAUGAUAAAAGUAGCUAAAAUGUAAAGUUAUGUACAUACCAACUAGAAAAAAAUCAAAAAACAUAAAAAGAGUAUCUAAUAUAUACGAUCAUCCAAAUAGAUAAACAGUAGGGCGCAACCCCACGAAUAAGAGUUGGCAUUUUCCCUAAUACCAACUACCAAAAUAAGAACAAAAUAACAAAAUAAAGGAUAUAGAGGGCGCCCUAGGCCUGGUUCGUAUGCACGGGAUCCUCAGUGGUCACCUGACCCUCUAUAUGGGCGAGAACCUCAAACUGAUUUCCGACAUGCUGCUGCUCUGCUGCUGGGAUAGGGUCCUGCUCCUGAACCGGAUGAAUAUCGGGUGCAUCACUAGAGGAAGUCUCCUGAAUAUCUGCAUGCUCAAUCACAACACCCUGAGUACUAGCCAAAUUACUCUUCUUCCUCGAGGGCGUACCCCUGAUAAUAAUAUAUACAAAUUUUUCGAGGCAUUUCCCGAAUAAAAUUAACUAAGGGAACGGCCUCUCGCCUCGAAACUUAAAAAAAUAAAAAUCCUAAAGCUAUAGUACUGUCUCUUUUUACUUUCUAAUCAAGAUUUUUUAGUGAAUUACAUUGUAUAGUAGUGUGUGAAUCAAACGUUUUAAUUAGGUAACUUUAUAGUACAAAAUAAAAAUCAAGUAGAUAGUUAGGAUGCUAAUCAAUCCAAACCCAAUUACCAUUAAUUUCACUCACUGUUAUGUCUCACUUCAUAUUCUCAAUAAACAUUAGCCCCAAAGUUAUUAACCGAACAUAUCUACGUUGUUAACUAGCAAAUCCAUUUUGUUCUUAAUUAUGCAUCAAAUUCAAGCUAAACAAAACAAAUCAAAUUAAGAAAAAGUUUCAAGCAAACCACAAAACUAGCAGAAUAGUCCUACGACAAUCAUAUUAUCGAACAUUGAUAAAAAAACAGAUAGAAUUGUUUUUAAGUCAAAGUAAGGGAUGAACCUCACGGUGAUUGCCUUUUCAAUACAGUAACAGUGCCUGAAUAGGAACAGAGGCCAGAACUUGACCGGAAAACCUCAACUGAAAUCACACGAGACCGGAACCGUCAAGCCAAGAACGGAAACUUCGUUGUAAAGCUUGAACGACUACCUCGCCUUUUAAUUAGAAUCGAGCGCAACUCGAACACCUUAUAUAGCGUAACAAUGGAGGGGAGGAAAGUUCUCUGUGUAGAAGAUGAAAGUGGAAAGAGGAGCGGAGUCCGGCGACAGAGAGGCGACAACUAGUGGGAGGCUGGUUUCCGGCGGAUUUUGGAGGAGAUGAGGGCGGGCAGCGGCGGUUCAAGAGUUCUCCUAGGAUUUGUCUUGUGUCUUGAGGUUGAGGUCUUGGGCAGCUAGGGUUUUUUUUUGUUCAAGAAGAAGGAGGAGAGCCAGCCAUGGGUGGUCUCUAGGGUUUUGCUCACUCCUUUUCCUUUAUCCCUGUGUAAAAUAUAUGACCACAUGGGAUUGGAGGGGAAAGAAUAUGUGAGCUCAAAAAAAAAAAUCUUUUUUUCUAGAAACUACUACCA
This 1569-nucleotide long non-coding RNA is filed under the name Nicotiana benthamiana. Its description in RNAcentral is "long non-coding RNA (NBEN_LNC013679)". Lineage: Eukaryota; Viridiplantae; Streptophyta; Magnoliopsida; Solanales; Solanaceae. The record is from RNAcentral.